AUUGCAAUCAAAUCUAAUCCCUUUCAGGGAUUGAAAC
Molecule: non-coding RNA, 37 nt
Organism: Desertifilum sp.
Lineage: Bacteria; Bacillati; Cyanobacteriota; Cyanophyceae; Desertifilales; Desertifilaceae
Source: Rfam